Wyeomyia smithii (pitcher-plant mosquito) is the source of this 1377-nucleotide long non-coding RNA. RefSeq lists it as uncharacterized. The record is from RefSeq and is a predicted model, not a curated record. The transcript has 3 exons. NCBI's taxonomy places the organism in Eukaryota, Metazoa, Arthropoda, Insecta, Diptera, Culicidae.
CCGUAAUCACUAGGGCGCCAAUCAUCGUAUGGAAAAAAAGUGACCAGAAAUUUUAAAAAAAAAACCCUAUACAAAAUGUUCGAAAAAACAGCUCGAAAAAACACCCUGUACAAAAUUUCAGCUCAAUCGGACUUAAAAUGGGGUGGCGCAAAGCGAUUGAAGUUUGGUCUUUUUGAAAACAGAAAAAUCACCCAAGGGGGGGGGGGUACGUGAAAUUUCGGUUUUCGAAAAAAUUUUUUUGAUGCCAAAUGACCUAAAAACGCAUGAAACGUCGAGAAUUGGUGUCAUCCGAAUUUUUUUUUUUUUUUGCAAGAAUUUACUCUCUGGGACUCAGUCGUUUUUUCAAUUGUGGAAGGCGGAGUUCAAAAUGUUUAGAAUUUAUCUUUUGAAAUUGAUCACUAGUCUCUCGAAAUAGCUUGUAUAAUGAUAUACACUAUAACUAGCAUCGAAUACAUGAGGUUUCAUUAGGGUGGUUCAUUAAUUCGACAUAGGGUGUGUAACGGGGUUACAAAAAUACAUCUAUGCUUAAGGAUAUGGCAGGAAAGACCCAAAAAAAUGAAGUCGGUACAAACGGUUAUUUUUAAAUUCAAAUUGUCGGAGUAAAUGGUUAAUACCCCUUAAGCUCUCUAGGGUGAAAAAACGCAGUCGCUCAAUAAAAGAUUUUAUUCAGCAACGCAUGAAAUGUUCUCGACCAAUCAACAACGGACACGAGUUUCGUGGAUAAAAGCUAAAAAGCUAUGUAAAAAAAAAUAAAAGCUUAUUGUGAGACAUUUCCGUUUGAGUCGCACGUUAAAACAGUUCACAGUCCGAUCCUGUAAAACGGACAGAGUACCAGAAAAAUUAAUGUAACAUAGAAGAUUGAGAGUGCUGAAAAACAUCACAAAAAAAAGCAGUUAGAGAAGAAGAGAAAAAAAAAUCGAAAAGCGUGAAGAAUUUGUUAACGGGGAAAAGAUCUCGAAUAGUCCAGGUAUCCUUCGAACGAAGGAUUCGGUUGAGGCUUACAAAAUCACGGCAGCCGCCCGCUCCCUUCACGUGCAAUUCGUGUUCCUAACCUCGCAAUCUGGUUAGAUCGGAAGAACUACCGGGUGACGUGUAGUUGACAAGAUCUUGGAGACGGAAUAAAGCAAAAUUGUCAAACCCGGGCUGUUCAGUAAAAAAAAUCAACCAACGUGACGACCAGUGUCGUGGGAAGCUAUACUACGGGUACUGCCAGUCUCCCGCCCGCAGCCAGAUAUAGAUUGUCGCAUCUGUGCGCCCCCCGACCGCAUCAAGUGGCUUCAUCGACCACCCACGGCUGUACCUACGCGCAUCGCCAACAUCGUUCACCCGAAUCCCGCUAGCUUGGAUGAACCAGCAUCACCCCACGUCGAAACGAAG